ACAUGCAAGUCGAACGGAAAGGCCCUGCUUGCAGGGUACUCGAGUGGCGAACGGGUGAGUAACACGUGGGUGAUCUGCCCUGCACUUCGGGAUAAGCUUGGGAAACUGGGUCUAAUACCGGAUAGGAACCAUCUUUAGUGUGGUGGUUGGAAAGUUUUUUCGGUGUAGGGUGAGCUCGCGGCCUAUCAGCUUGUUGGUGGGGUAAUGGCCUACCAAGGCGGCGACGGGUAGCCGGCCUGAGAGGGUGUACGGCCACAUUGGGACUGAGAUACGGCCCAGACUCCUACGGGAGGCAGCAGUGGGGAAUAUUGCACAAUGGGCGCAAGCCUGAUGCAGCGACGCCGCGUGGGGGAUGAAGGCCUUCGGGUUGUAAACUCCUUUCGCUAGGGACGAAGCUUUUUGUGACGGUACCUAGAUAAGAAGCACCGGCUAACUACGUGCCAGCAGCCGCGGUAAUACGUAGGGUGCGAGCGUUGUCCGGAAUUACUGGGCGUAAAGGGCUCGUAGGUGGUCUGUCGCGUCGUCUGUGAAAUUCUGGGGCUUAACUCCGGGCGUGCAGGCGAUACGGGCAUAACUUGAGUGCUGUAGGGGUAACUGGAAUUCCUGGUGUAGCGGUGAAAUGCGCAGAUAUCAGGAGGAACACCGAUGGCGAAGGCAGGUUACUGGGCAGUUACUGACGCUGAGGAGCGAAAGC
Molecule: ribosomal RNA, 694 nt
Filed under: uncultured Actinomycetales bacterium
Lineage: Bacteria; Bacillati; Actinomycetota; Actinomycetes; Actinomycetales
Description: bacterial SSU rRNA
Rfam family: Bacterial small subunit ribosomal RNA
Source: RNAcentral